GGGGGGCUGGCGCAACGGUAGCGCGUCGGAUUCCAGUUAAUCCACAGAGUGAGCGUCCCGAAGGUUACCGGUUCAAAUCCGGUGUCCCUCA
This 91-nucleotide transfer RNA is filed under the name Metarhizium album ARSEF 1941. It matches the Rfam family "tRNA". Rfam says of the family: Transfer RNA (tRNA) molecules are approximately 80 nucleotides in length. Their secondary structure includes four short double-helical elements and three loops (D, anti-codon, and T loops). The record is from Rfam by way of RNAcentral. Lineage: Eukaryota; Fungi; Ascomycota; Sordariomycetes; Hypocreales; Clavicipitaceae.